CACAAAUAUAUUUAAUUGGAGAACAUGAUUUAUGACACCCAGCCCAGGGCUCAGUUUGAGAAUCUGAUUUAUGACACACCCAGCGGGGAAGGAGGGGGGGGAACAGGGUCACACGUGACAGUUAAAUUAUGUAUGCCAGAGUUGGCUUCACACAGGGCAGUGCCAGUAUGUCGCCUCUAAGGAAUCCUUUGAAGUUUUUUGAAGUUUGGCUCGAGAAUCACGAUUUAAUUAGGGCAAUUGCUGGAAUCCUGACAUUAACAGCUGCACAUGGUAACCUCUCUCUCUCUCUCUCUCCCACACACACACACACCCUUCCUUCUAUCUCUCAUUCAUUCUCUCCUUCUCUCCCUCCUUCUUUCUUUCUCUCUCGUUCUCUCAUUCUCUCUCAUUUUCUCUCUCAUUCUCUCUCAUUCUCUCUCUCCCUCUCUCUCUCGUUCUCUCCUCUCUCUCUCAUUCUCUCUCUCAUUCUCUCCCUGUUUCUCCCUCUCUCUCCCUCUCAUUCUCCCCCCCUCUCAUUCUCUCUCCCUCUCUCAUUCUCUCAUUCUCUCCCUCCUUCUUUCUUUCUCUCUCGUUCUCUCAUUCUCUCAUUUUCUCUCUCAUUCUCUUUCUCAUUCUCUCUCUCCUUCUCUCUCCCUCUCUCAUUCUCUCUCUCAUUCAUUCUCUCCUUCUCUCCCUCCUUCUUUCUUUCUCUCUCGUUCUCUCAUUCUCUCUCAUUCUCUUUCUCGUUCUCUUUCUCAUUCUCUCUCAUUCUCUUUCUCAUUCUCUCUCUCUCCCCCCCCUCUCCGUUGAAUUUUGCAGCAGUUCAGAUCGUAGGAAGAGAAAUAAAACAGGAAGUGGGAAAGAAUUGGAAAAGGAAGGAGAACACAACGCUCUAACUAUGUCAGCUUGACAAAAACUCCUAAGGAGUCUGGCAAUCUCCUUUUUGGACACAGUUUUAAAAUAAAAGGUGCAUUUUUUUAAAAAAAAAAUGAAAU
Molecule: long non-coding RNA, 974 nt
Filed under: Notechis scutatus (mainland tiger snake)
Lineage: Eukaryota; Metazoa; Chordata; Lepidosauria; Squamata; Elapidae
Description: lncRNA (ENSNSUG00000003639.1)
Source: RNAcentral